GAUGAACGCUGGCGGCGUGCCUAAUACAUGCAAGUCGAGCGAACAGACGAGGAGCUUGCUCCUCUGACGUUAGCGGCGGACGGGUGAGUAACACGUGGAUAACCUACCUAUAAGACUGGGAUAACUUCGGGAAACCGGAGCUAAUACCGGAUAAUAUAUUGAACCGCAUUGUUCAAUAGUGAAAGACGGUUUUGCUGUCACUUAUAGAUGGAUCCGCGCCGCAUUAGCUAGUUGGUAAGGUAACGGCUUACCAAGGCAACGAUGCGUAGCCGACCUGAGAGGGUGAUCGGCCACACUGGAACUGAGACACGGUCCAGACUCCUACGGGAGGCAGCAGUAGGGAAUCUUCCGCAAUGGGCGAAAGCCUGACGGAGCAACGCCGCGUGAGUGAUGAAGGUAUUCGGAUCGUAAAACUCUGUUAUUAGGGAAGAACAAAUGUGUAAGUAACUAUGCACGUCUUGACGGUACCUAAUCAGAAAGCCACGGCUAACUACGUG
RNAcentral lists this ribosomal RNA (497 nucleotides) under uncultured bacterium. RNAcentral describes it as "partial 16S ribosomal RNA". It matches the Rfam family "Bacterial small subunit ribosomal RNA", at positions 28 to 507 of the family's 1533-position model. The record is from RNAcentral.